Molecule: ribosomal RNA, 433 nt
Filed under: uncultured bacterium
Lineage: Bacteria
Description: partial 16S ribosomal RNA
Rfam family: Bacterial small subunit ribosomal RNA
Source: RNAcentral
AACGAACGCUGGCGGCAUGCCUAACACAUGCAAGUCGAACGAGACCUUCGGGUCUAGUGGCGCACGGGUGCGUAACGCGUGGGAACCUGCCCUUAGGUUCGGAAUAACUCCCCGAAAGGGGUGCUAAUACCGGAUAAUGUCUUCGGACCAAAGAUUUAUCGCCUUUGGAUGGGCCCGCGUUGGAUUAGCUAGUUGGCAGGGUAAAAGCCUACCAAGGCGACGAUCCAUAGCUGGUCUGAGAGGAUGAUCAGCCACACUGGGACUGAGACACGGCCCAGACUCCUACGGGAGGCAGCAGUGGGGAAUAUUGGGCAAUGGGCGAAAGCCUGAUCCAGCAAUGCCGCGUGAGUGAUGAAGGCCUUAGGGUUGUAAAGCUCUUUUACCCGGGAUGAUAAUGACAGUACCGGGAGAAUAAGCUCCGGCUAACUCCGUG